This 147-nucleotide microRNA precursor is filed under the name Gossypium barbadense (sea-island cotton). Its description in RNAcentral is "MIR7502 microRNA precursor family". It matches the Rfam family "MIR7502 microRNA precursor family". The record is from Rfam by way of RNAcentral. Lineage: Eukaryota; Viridiplantae; Streptophyta; Magnoliopsida; Malvales; Malvaceae. RNAcentral also lists the same sequence under 1 other name.
UACUAAAUUUUUUUUAUCUAUUUUUACUGUUGAAAACUAGCAUGAUUGACAGAAUAAUUAAAUAGUGACAUGUGGCAUGCCACGUGUACCUCAUGCUGGUGUACAAGGAUCAUUUUUUAACAGUAAAAGUACAUAAAAUUUUUAACA